GACGAACGCUGGCGGCGUGCUUAACACAUGCAAGUCGAACGGAAAGGCCCUGCUUUUGUGGGGUGCUCGAGUGGCGAACGGGUGAGUAACACGUGAGUAACCUGCCCUUGACUUUGGGAUAACUUCAGGAAACUGGGGCUAAUACCGGAUAGGAGCUCCUGCUGCAUGGUGGGGGUUGGAAAGUUUCGGCGGUUGGGGAUGGACUCGCGGCUUAUCAGCUUGUUGGUGGGGUAGUGGCUUACCAAGGCUUUGUCGGGUAGCCGGCCUGAGAGGGUGACCGGCCACAUUGGGACUGAGAUACGGCCCAGAAUCCUACGGGAGGCAGCAGUGGGGAAUAUUGCACAAUGGGCGGAAGCCUGAUGCAGCAACGCCGCGUGCGGGAUGACGGCCUUCGGGUUGUAAACCGCUUUCGCCUGUGACGAAGCGUGAGUGACGGUAAUGGGUAAAGAAGCACCGGCUAACUACGUG
This 468-nucleotide ribosomal RNA is filed under the name uncultured bacterium. Its description in RNAcentral is "partial 16S ribosomal RNA". It matches the Rfam family "Bacterial small subunit ribosomal RNA", at positions 28 to 507 of the family's 1533-position model. The record is from RNAcentral.